Molecule: ribosomal RNA, 435 nt
Filed under: uncultured bacterium
Lineage: Bacteria
Description: partial 16S ribosomal RNA
Rfam family: Bacterial small subunit ribosomal RNA
Source: RNAcentral
CCCUCCCUCUUUCUUCAGGCUUAACACAUGCAAGUCGAACGAAUCACUUCGGUGGUGUGGGGCAGACGGGUGAGUAACCCGUGGGAACGUACCCAUCGACCUGGGAUAACCUCGGGAAACUGGAGCUAAUACCGGAUACGCUCUUUUGGGGAAAGUUUUACUGUCGGAGGAUCGGCCCGCGUCUGAUUCGCUUGUUGGUGGGGUAACGGCCUAUCAAGGCGACGAUCGGUAGCUGGUCUGAGAGGAUGAUCAGCCACACUGGGACUGAGACACGGCCCAGACUCCUACGGGAGGCAGCAGUGGGGAAUAUUGGACAAUGGGCGCAAGCCUGAUCCAGCCAUGCCGCGUGAGUGAUGAAGGCCUUAGGGUUGUAAAGCUCUUUUGUCCGGGACGAUAAUGACGGUACCGGGAGAAUAAGCCCCGGCUAACUUCGUG